Molecule: ribosomal RNA, 592 nt
Filed under: Vibrio parahaemolyticus
Lineage: Bacteria; Pseudomonadati; Pseudomonadota; Gammaproteobacteria; Vibrionales; Vibrionaceae
Description: partial 23S ribosomal RNA
Rfam family: Bacterial large subunit ribosomal RNA
Source: RNAcentral
UGGUGGGUAGUUUGACUGGGGCGGUCUCCUCCCAAAGAGUAACGGAGGAGCACGAAGGUGGGCUAAUCACGGUUGGACAUCGUGAGGUUAGUGCAAUGGCAUAAGCCCGCUUGACUGCGAGAAUGACAAUUCGAGCAGGUGCGAAAGCAGGUCAUAGUGAUCCGGUGGUUCUGAAUGGAAGGGCCAUCGCUCAACGGAUAAAAGGUACUCCGGGGAUAACAGGCUGAUACCGCCCAAGAGUUCAUAUCGACGGCGGUGUUUGGCACCUCGAUGUCGGCUCAUCACAUCCUGGGGCUGAAGUCGGUCCCAAGGGUAUGGCUGUUCGCCAUUUAAAGUGGUACGCGAGCUGGGUUUAGAACGUCGUGAGACAGUUCGGUCCCUAUCUGCCGUGGGCGUUGGAAGAUUGAAGGGGGCUGCUCCUAGUACGAGAGGACCGGAGUGGACGAACCUCUGGUGUUCGGGUUGUGUCGCCAGACGCAUUGCCCGGUAGCUAAGUUCGGAAUCGAUAACCGCUGAAAGCAUCUAAGCGGGAAGCGAGCCCUGAGAUGAGUCUUCCCUGAUACUUUAAGUAUCCUAAAGGGUUGUCGGAGAC